UACGAAGGGGGCUAGCGUUGUUCGGAAUCACUGGGCGUAAAGCGCACGUAGGCGGCUCUUUAAGUCAGGGGUGAAAUCCCGAGGCUCAACCUCGGAACUGCCUUUGAUACUGGGGAUCUCGAGUCCGGGAGAGGUGAGUGGAACUGCGAGUGUAGAGGUGAAAUUCGUAGAUAUUCGCAAGAACACCAGUGGCGAAGGCGGCUCACUGGCCCGGAACUGACGCUGAGGCGCGAAAGCGUGGGGAGCAAACAGG
Molecule: ribosomal RNA, 253 nt
Filed under: uncultured bacterium
Lineage: Bacteria
Description: partial 16S ribosomal RNA
Rfam family: Bacterial small subunit ribosomal RNA
Source: RNAcentral